AGUUGUAGAAUCACUGGUGAAUAAGGGGUGGGCAAGUUCUGGUGUCAGCCGCCGCGGUAAAACCAGCACCUCGAGUGGUCAGGAGGUUUAUUGGGCCUAAAGCAUCCGUAGCCGGUUGCAUAAGUUUUCGGUUAAAUCUAUGCGCUUAACGUAUAGGCCGCCGAAAAUACUGUGCAGCUAGGGAGUGGGAGAGGUACACGGUACUCGAUAGGAAGGGGUAAAAUCCUUUGAUCUAUUGAUGACCACCUGUGGCGAAGGCGGUGUACCAGAACACGUUCGACGGUGAGGGAUGAAAGCUGGGGGAGCAAACCGGAUUAGAUACCCGGGUAGUCCCAGCUGUAAACGAUGCAGACUCGGUGAUGCAUUGGCUUGUGGCCAAUGCAGUGCCGCAGGGAAGCCGUUAAGUCUGCCGCCUGGGAAGUACGUACGCAAGUAUGAAACUUAAAGGAAUUGGCGGGGGAGCACCACAAGGGGUGAAGCCUGCGGUUCAAUUGGAGUCAACGCCAGAAAUCUUACCUGGGGAGACAGCAGAAUGAAGGUCAAGCUGAAGACUUUACCAGACACGCUGAGAGGUGGUGCAUGGCCGUCGCCAGCUCGUGCCGUGAGAUGUCCUGUUAAGUCAGGUAACGAGCGAGACCCCUGCGUCUAGUUGCUACCAUUACUCUCUGGAGCAGUGGAGCGAAUUAGACGGACCGCCACAGUUAAUGUGGAGGAAGGAAGGGGCCACGGCAGGUCAGUAUGCCCCGAAACCCUAGGGCUGCACGCGGGCUGCAAUGGUAUUGACAUGUGUUCCGAAUCCGAAAGGAGGAGGCAAUCAUCAAACAUAUCUCAGUUAUGACUGAGGGC
This 846-nucleotide ribosomal RNA is filed under the name uncultured archaeon. RNAcentral's name for it is "bacterial SSU rRNA". It matches the Rfam family "Archaeal small subunit ribosomal RNA", at positions 415 to 1261 of the family's 1478-position model. The record is from RNAcentral.